GGUUCAACCCCAGAUUCAAGGUGUCCAGUCUGAAGUUGUUCCUCUCGCACCUACAAACCAGUCCGUCCCCGGGGCACCUCCACAGUACGGAGUGUACUACCAACCAUCGCUCCCCCCUCAGAUUCCCACCCAGCAAGUGAUGAUCCCCCCAUCAUCUCAGUCAUCUGCCCCCCAACAACAACAACAACAACAACAACAACAGCAGCAGCAACAACAGCAACAG
Non-coding RNA from Paralichthys olivaceus (Japanese flounder), 223 nucleotides. The record is from RefSeq and is a predicted model, not a curated record. Lineage: Eukaryota; Metazoa; Chordata; Actinopteri; Pleuronectiformes; Paralichthyidae.